Molecule: non-coding RNA, 22 nt
Filed under: Arabidopsis thaliana (thale cress)
Lineage: Eukaryota; Viridiplantae; Streptophyta; Magnoliopsida; Brassicales; Brassicaceae
Source: RNAcentral
GUCGUUUGGUUUCUUCUGUCCC